This 71-nucleotide transfer RNA is filed under the name Marmota monax (woodchuck). RNAcentral's name for it is "tRNA.Val". Lineage: Eukaryota; Metazoa; Chordata; Mammalia; Rodentia; Sciuridae. The record is from RNAcentral.
GGGAUUGUGGCUCAGUGGUAGAGUAUUCAUCUAACAUGUGCAAGGCACUGGGUUGGAUCCUCAGCACCCCA